UGAUGCUUACAGUGAGAUAUGUUUGAUAUUCUUGGUUGUUACUAUUUGAUUAUCACCCAGGAAUCAAACAUAUUAUUACUGUGGACAUUC
Molecule: non-coding RNA, 90 nt
Organism: Phlebotomus papatasi
Lineage: Eukaryota; Metazoa; Arthropoda; Insecta; Diptera; Psychodidae
Source: Rfam